ACUUCCUGCUUGCUUAUCUCAUAUAAGCCCUAGACCACCAGAGAUCAGGGCCUGAUAUUCUGGAAUUGUUCCUGGUCAGUGCCCGUUUAAGUAAAUAGAUCUGCCUCCAAAUCCUGAGCGUCAUUUUGGUGCUUUUGCUUGCCAUUGCCUCAGGUGUGUUGUCCAGGAAGACUGACCAUGCUGACCUCUUUGGUCACUGGUCAUGGCCCUUGCAGACAGAGCAAGGACCUCUCCAGGUCCCAACAGGAAGGUAUGCCCUUGAGAUUUCUCAAGUCCCCUCAGAGGUCUGGAGGAGGAUUCCUGGCUCCCUGCUUGAGCGGGUCACAUCAGACUCCAAAAGGAGGAGGAUACAAUCUGUCUGUCUGCCCACCUGAUUCUGAAUUCACCUGCCACAUCUGUCAUCACAAGAGGCCAAGGAAUGUCACCUGUUCGGUGAGCAGAGCCAAGGAGAAGAUGCUCAAGCAGGCCCAGGAAGCUGAAGGAAAUUGCAAGAGGGAAAGUCAUGACAUCCUCCAGCACAGGAGCCAGCUGUAG
RNAcentral lists this long non-coding RNA (534 nucleotides) under Chinchilla lanigera (long-tailed chinchilla). RNAcentral describes it as "lncRNA (ENSCLAG00000023170.1)". The record is from RNAcentral. Lineage: Eukaryota; Metazoa; Chordata; Mammalia; Rodentia; Chinchillidae.